ACGGGAAUGAUCGGAGAAAUGGAUAAUUUCUUUUUAACGCGUACGUAAAAACGUUCCACGCAUAUUAUCGGUAUGUAUCAUUUUCGUUGAUGAUGAAAGAAAGAUAAUAUUGAAACUUUAAAUUUUAUUUAAUAGCAAGGAACAAAUUAUUCUUCCCUUUCACCAUAUAAUUGAUUCACGUUUAUAUCCCUAUCCGAACGAUAGAACGAUUAUUUCAUUGUAUCGGGAAGGAGAAGCGAAGAGAUGAACGCGUUGGCUUAAUUAUCGCAUGCCAGCAGAUCACAGUGUCAUUAAGGCGAAUCUGUUCGCGGAAUGGCGACGAUUAUUGCGGCUCGCUUACGAUCCAUGAACGGCUAUGGAUCGUGCCGAACAUUAAACGUAGAAUGUCCUCAGGGGAAAACGAUCAUUGUCCUGGACGUUAUGCGUUGGGGAGAACGCUCUGUGCGCUCGUUUAUGCGUCCAAUUAAACGUUCCCGCGCGAUGACCGACUACGCAUGCGCAAUUAUCGUGUCCCGCGCUUGCGCGUGCACCAUUUUACUUCACCUCGGGGAUCCAACGUUGAACGGUUAUUAAGAGAGGAUAAUUGUUUUGUUUUUGUGAGAAUUAUUGGACAGAAGAUUAGAAAUGUGUGUCUUCGGCCCAUUCAGAAACCGUUUUGCACCUGUAGGUUAAGUUGUUCUACCUUCUUUCUUUCUACAUUUUUUACGAUUCCAAGACGAAAAGAAGAGUCGACGGAGGAAUUUUGUUAAGCAACGAAAGGUUCCAAUAACAUUUGGCGCUACGAUUCAACGAUUGAUCAUACAAAAAAGAGAAAAAAAGAAAUGGAAAGGUUACUCGAAAACAUCUCUCGCGGUAUGUUAUCUAUUUUCUUUGUACGAUUUACCUGUCCCGGCCCAUUUUACACGCCUCUUCCUUCAUUCCAAGCACACCCUUCGCUAUUUGUUUCUUUAAUGGCCUUCUCCUCGCUACCAACGUUCGCGUUAUCGCCGUAUCAAUCUAUAUGCGCGUAUAUACGUUCAAUACAAUCUGCUUACCAAUUGCAUUACAUCACGUGCAUUUUUUGUCCUCUCGUCAUCUGAUAACCGGUACGCUCGUCCUUAUCCAUUUGCGUUGGUAUCCUUUUAGCACGGUUCUCCAUUGCGAGAAAAAUAUAGUUUCA
This is a long non-coding RNA of Apis dorsata (giant honeybee), 1159 nucleotides long. RefSeq lists it as uncharacterized. The transcript is spliced from 2 exons. The record is from RefSeq and is a predicted model, not a curated record. NCBI's taxonomy places the organism in Eukaryota, Metazoa, Arthropoda, Insecta, Hymenoptera, Apidae.